ACCUACAGAGUAAUCUGAUGAAAGUAUUUUCUCAAUGGAAGUUAUUAGAUGGCCCUACCUUAUGUCAAGUUGACCGAAAAUUAACACAGCUUUAUACCAGACGAUCAAAGAAUUCCUCCUUCAGAAGGGUGAGCACAGAUGUCUAUUGUAACCAUCUCCUGCCUGUUGACUCUGGAAGUCUGCCUCCAGCCCAGAUGUCUAUACUGAGCUAGAGCAUCUAGUCUCCAACUAGAACAAAAGCUCUGCUCUCUUGUAUACGUUGCUGUGCGUGCAAGCCAGACAUUUGGGAGAACACUGUAGAUGUUCAUUGAAUCUUAUGGAGGCCUUUUUCUGAAUUGAGAUUGACUCUCGCUUUGCCAUGGAUAAAACUAGCCAGCACAGCUACGAGUUCAUUCUACAUUUAUGGAAACUCUUAAAAAAAAAAAAAAGAAGAAGAAAGAAAGAAAGAACAGAAUGUCUUAGCUACACAUUUCAAUCGCAGCUCCCUGAUUUGUGCAGAUGACUGGAUGGUGAAUGGCAGGCAAACAUUGGUACUGCCCAACUCUUUGUCCACAGUUUCAAUCGCAGCUGCCUGAUUUGUGCAGAUGACUGGAUGGUGAAUGGCAGGCAAACAUUGGUACUGCCCAACUCUGACUCAGUUUCCCUCAUUUCCUCUACUGUCGCUGGUGGUGACUUCACAAGGCAGUCUCUCCUGGGAGACUGCCACUCAUUUCCUAGGAUUUCUUGACUCAUGCUGAGGUCUUCCAACUGAGCAGGUGGAGGUGAAUCUCAGUACCUGUCUGGAGUAGAAAAAAAGAGAAGGCCUGCUGUUUAAGACUUGAAGUGAGAGGCUGCAAAAUAUGUCAAAAAUGUUGCUGGCUGUUGUGGGGUGGUGGUGGCUGAGGGCAGCAAAUUGCAGACUGAUCUUGGAGGCAAAGCAAGGUAGGAGCUGUAAGGUACAUGUUUGUGUGUGUGUAGACACCAGGGAUUAAAACCAUGCAUGCAUGCCAAGCCAUCUCUAGGUCCCUCUCCCCUUUAAUCUAAAUUCCUGUCCUGCUAGCCUAUACCUAUUCCCAUCCCUGAGGUUUGGGAGUGAGCUGUGUGGGCUAUAUUGGGUCACAGAUUUCGCAGGUCCCCGGAAUCUGAAUGUUCUGUUACACAGCAUAGGGGACUUGAGUAGCAGAUGGAAUUAAGUUUUCUAAUCAGUUGACUUGAACAUAGGAAGGUUAUUUAAGAUCAUCCGGGGUUCAGGCAAUUACCAAGAUGCCACCUAUGGAGGAGGAAUAGGAGAGAAGAAGGUAAAGUGAGAAGAGGCCCAUUGCCAAGGAACUCAGGUGCCUCAGGAAAUGACAGAAGGUCUUAGAAAAGUUACACCAUCUGUAUUCCACAACACCAUUCCUUGCUCAAGCCAAGAACUGCUUUGGGAUGUAAAGGAACAUCCGGGAAGAACUGCCUGGCACACAGCUCCCACCUCCCCCAUGAAAACCCUGCAGAGCACAAAAGAGCCUUUUAAGAGGCUGGAGAUGAGAGUCAGCCCCCAGCCUCCUUCGGCAAACAAGCUUCAGAGAUGAAAGGACAGCUUCUACAUCCUGUCUCUGCCAUAGCCACUGAACAAUCAGGAGCUGGUGCUCCAUUAAGGGAAAUCCAGAGUGAGACCAAUGGUGAGAUGAGCCAAUACAAACUCUGAUCAGCAGGAGCUGGAGCAAAGAAAAGAGUCACGCAUGUGACCUUCCUGAGUCUUUCUCAUAAUGAUUGGGAAACAUUUACAAAACACCAACUUGCAAGAUGGCUCAGCCAGGGUUGCUGUCUGAGAGAAGCUUCUGAUGAAAGAAAGAGACAAGAACCUGAUGAGCUACUGGAGCAAGAAGAGAUGACUUCCCAUUGGGUAGCAAAGUAAAUACGCAGAAUCUGCCCAAGAGAUUCGGCAACAGCAAGGGAUUUGUACGAAAUAAUCCACUGUGAUUGGCAGCUGUCAGUAGUUUAAUAGGAAUUACACAAGUGGGUUCAUACUGGGGUUGAAAUAUAUAAAGAUCCUGGCUGGGGACACUGCUCAGUGGUGCCUCUCUAGCAGGCAUGAAGCCUAAUCUGCCACAGACACACACACACAUACACACACACACACACUUCUGUGCCUUUCAGCUUUCUGAGCUGAAACUGUUUUUGCAUUCCCUACCAGGCACUGUGACUUCCUUCUGACCACUUACUAUGAAAAUAGAGUUCUUAAUUAGAAUUUGCUAACCUAAGUCUCUAGCAGACAUGCCCUGGCUACAGUAGGCCUUGGACUAUUUGCUGAACUAAUUUCAUUAGUUCAUAGUGUUCAUUCUACAGUAGCACAUACAUCAUCAGAGAGCUGUAACAAUUGUAAGAAGAGACAGGUGCUGAUGCUAGAAGACGGGGCUGGAGAGAUGGCUCAGUGGUUAGGAGCACUGACUGCUCUUCCAGAGGUCCUGAGUUCAAUUC
This is a long non-coding RNA of Grammomys surdaster, 2439 nucleotides long. RefSeq lists it as uncharacterized. The record is from RefSeq and is a predicted model, not a curated record. NCBI's taxonomy places the organism in Eukaryota, Metazoa, Chordata, Mammalia, Rodentia, Muridae. The transcript is spliced from 10 exons.